This 317-nucleotide ribosomal RNA is filed under the name Aporrectodea tuberculata. RNAcentral describes it as "partial 16S ribosomal RNA". It matches the Rfam family "Bacterial large subunit ribosomal RNA", at positions 1838 to 2307 of the family's 2925-position model. The record is from RNAcentral. Lineage: Eukaryota; Metazoa; Annelida; Clitellata; Crassiclitellata; Lumbricidae.
GUAACAAAUGGGAAGUAAUUCCUGCCCAGUGACUAAGUUCAACGGCCGCGGUAUCCUAACCGUGCAAAGGUAGCAUAAUCACUUGCCCAUUAAUUGUGGGCUAGAAUGAAAGGACCAACGAAAUAAAGACUGUCUCUAUAAGUCACUUAAAAAUUAAUCUCUAACUGAAGAGUGUUAGAUCUCGUCGAAGGACAAGAAGACCCUAUAGAGCUUUAUUUUAAUAAAAAUUAUAAAUUUUUAAUAAAUUCGGUUGGGGCGACCAGGGAAAUUAUCAAUCAUCCCCUAUAAAAAGAUAAAUUAAUCUAAACUCUGACCCU